This 253-nucleotide ribosomal RNA is filed under the name uncultured bacterium. Its description in RNAcentral is "partial 16S ribosomal RNA". It matches the Rfam family "Bacterial small subunit ribosomal RNA", at positions 524 to 776 of the family's 1533-position model. The record is from RNAcentral.
UACGUAGGGGGCAAGCGUUGUCCGGAAUCAUUGGGCGUAAAGAGCGCGUAGGCGGCCCAGUAAGUCCGCUCUGAAGGUCAGAGGCUCAACCUCUGAAUGCGGGUGGAUACUGCUGGGCUAGAGUCCGGAAGAGGCGAGUGGAAUUCCUGGUGUAGCGGUGAAAUGCGCAGAUAUCAGGAGGAACACCGAUGGCGAAGGCAGCUCGCUGGGACGGUACUGACGCUGAGGCGCGAAAGCGUGGGGAGCGAACAGG